ACGGAAGGCAGCAGUGGGGAAUAUUGCACAAUGGGCGAAAGCCUGAUGCAGCGACGCCGCGUGAGUGAAGAAGUAUCUCGGUAUGUAAAGCUCUAUCAGCAGGGAAGAAAAUGACGGUACCUGACUAAGAAGCCCCGGCUAACUACGUGCCAGCAGCCGCGGUAAUACGUAGGGGGCAAGCGUUAUCCGGAUUUACUGGGUGUAAAGGGAGCGUAGACGGUUUGGCAAGUCUGAAGUGAAAUGCGGGGGCUCAACUCCUGAACUGCUUUGGAAACUGUCGAACUAGGGUGCAGGAGAGGUAAGUGGAAUUCCUAGUGUAGCGGUGAAAUGCGUAGAUAUUAGGAGGAACACCAGUGGCGAAGGCGGCUUACUGGACUGUAACUGACGUUGAGGCUCGAAAGCGUGGGGAGCAAACAGGAUUAGAUACCCUGGUA
RNAcentral lists this ribosomal RNA (434 nucleotides) under uncultured Lachnospiraceae bacterium. RNAcentral describes it as "partial 16S ribosomal RNA". It matches the Rfam family "Bacterial small subunit ribosomal RNA", at positions 341 to 792 of the family's 1533-position model. Lineage: Bacteria; Bacillati; Bacillota; Clostridia; Lachnospirales; Lachnospiraceae. The record is from RNAcentral.